RNAcentral lists this microRNA precursor (127 nucleotides) under Podarcis lilfordi (Lilford's wall lizard). Lineage: Eukaryota; Metazoa; Chordata; Lepidosauria; Squamata; Lacertidae. The record is from RNAcentral.
AUCUAAGUUUGUUAUUAGUAUGAGCUUUCAUGUGCAUGCACACUUCUUCAAAUACACACCUGAAGAAUGUGUAUCUGAAGAAGUGUGCAUGCACACGAAAGCUCAUACCAUUAACAAACUUAGUUGG